RNAcentral lists this signal recognition particle RNA (99 nucleotides) under Gemmatimonadota bacterium. RNAcentral describes it as "Gemmatimonadetes bacterium (beach sand metagenome) signal recognition particle sRNA small type". It matches the Rfam family "Bacterial small signal recognition particle RNA". From Rfam's summary of the family: The signal recognition particle (SRP) is a universally conserved ribonucleoprotein involved in the co-translational targeting of proteins to membranes. Archaeal SRP consists of a 7S RNA and homologues of the eukaryotic SRP19 and SRP54 proteins. Lineage: Bacteria; Pseudomonadati; Gemmatimonadota. The record is from RNAcentral.
UGCCGGGCCCUGUGCAGCGGGAACCUGUGAAACGCGUCAGGGCCGGAAGGCAGCAGCGCUAAGCGGAUCUUCUCGGGUGCCGCAGGUGUCCUGGCCGGC